GUCAGCUGGUUCAAGUGCAAAAUGAAAAUAUAGUUCCCUGGUACUGCAAUGACAGUUUAAGUAGUUUCUUUUCCUGACUGUAUCUUCCAAUGCUGAGUCCCUGAAAAUUGCUUGCAAGGGUGUGAAGUGCAUCAAAUCAGAUCAGAGAACUGAUUUAGAUAAAUAAAGUCAAGGAGAGGGAAGUUUUGUUUUUAAUCUUAUUUUGUUCCCUGGUCUGGGAACAGGCAAGGGACAUCCUUGUCUGUGGCUGUGUGGGUGCAACAUGAUGCAGAAAACGAUCAGAAGACUACAAGCAGCAGUGAGAAGCAGAAAGAGGAGGCACUGAACACUUCUUGUCUUGAAACUGGGCACUGUCACUGCAAACAGCUGAGGUGGAGUACUGUCAGAGGAAGUUUAUGAGAUAUGUGAAAUGAUAGCAGAUCUGCAUCUGCAAGAAAGGCUGAUCUAUUGCAGCAUUAUCGAGGAGUUCACUGCGAUGUGCCACAGCAGCAUUAUGGUGUUCAACAAGGUACAGAGGUUCCAUAUAUGGCAAACAAAUGUCUUCCCUGCCCAGCUGAGUCAGUCAAGUGACAAGAACCACUGUAGAAGAAAUGAAAGACUUUGAUCACCAUGUAAGUGAAGUGAUUUAAACUUCCUUAUUUUCGCACCAACUUCUAGCUGUCACUCUCAUUCCCUGCUCUUUCUCAGUAGGCUUUAC
This 697-nucleotide long non-coding RNA is filed under the name Coturnix japonica (Japanese quail). RNAcentral's name for it is "lncRNA (ENSCJPG00005003415.1)". Lineage: Eukaryota; Metazoa; Chordata; Aves; Galliformes; Phasianidae. The record is from RNAcentral.